AUCGGGAAAUUCAGAGUCUUCUUGGAGAAUCAGUUUUCUGACAUCACACAACAAUGUCUAAUGUCAAUGUCUGGAACGCUUUGAAGACAGAAAUGGGAGUUUUCAAUGGGGAAACCCAGAGUUCUGAGGUGUCAUGAACGCAGCAUUGGCGCACACCAGAACUCAGGAGUUAUCGCGGUGUAACCUGGGUGUAACUGCCUUGUAGGAGGAGCAGGAUUUUCUGGCAGGACGGACAGUAAUUUUAACAGGAUAGCCAUUUACCAAGCUGCACGUUUCAUUUUAGGAGCACACGGCAUGCGUGGGUUAAAGUUAGCAAACAAGUUGAGUGAGCUGACAGAAGGCAAAAAAAAAAACACAAACACCUCAAACUAAUUGAAUGGCUCCAAAAGAAAAAAAUACUGAGAUGGAAAGUCAAGUGCAACCGGUGUCAUCACAAAAUGAAGCUGAAGAAAAAGAUUGUGGAUCUGUGGACCGAUUUGAAUGCUUGAUUUCAUGAUGGACAACAUUGCUGCAUCCUCAAGAACCCUUUCAAGAAUGGCAAAGCAACGGGAGGUCUGCGUGACAGCGAUGGAGAGGCUGCAUCAUAGAGAAGGACAGAGAAUUGGGGGAAGGAGCAUUUCGUGGUGAUAGAUGAGUCACUUCAGACAUAAAAGAAAGUAUGGAAGGGGCAGGAUGGCUGGGGGCUGGAAGCGGAGGAAGUGGGUGUUCGGGAUGCUGGGGGUGCAAAGCACGCGGAGGCGGCCAGGGC
Molecule: long non-coding RNA, 748 nt
Organism: Cololabis saira (Pacific saury)
Lineage: Eukaryota; Metazoa; Chordata; Actinopteri; Beloniformes; Belonidae
Exons: 3
Source: RefSeq, a predicted model, not a curated record